AUAUAAAUUUACGUAUUAUUAUUUGUACCACGUAUGCAGAUAAUAAUGUUCCGACUGAAUGUGUUUGUAGGAGUUUUUCUUUUAAUCUACUAUGUGGGUAUUGCAACAGCUACUCCAACCACGGAUGAAGGUUGUGAUGCUAUUCAGGGCAAGUGUCAAAAUGUGACGUUCGCACGUUGUUUUGGUGCCAUUAAAUACUAUGAGUUGUUAUGUGCAGGAAAAUUUAUGUCUUGCUGUGCCAGGAAAACUGCUAAAGAGAAAGACUGCCAGGCACAAGGAGGCUCUUGUGAAUACCACUGUGUAGGAUCGAAACCACAUGCAAAUAUUUGUGAAGGUCACAUGUCUUGCUGCAUAGCAUUCAAUUAGCAGCAGUUAUUACAGAUUGAUAAACGAAAUAAAUAUCUUACAUAUAUGAAGAAUAGAAAUAUGACUUUAAAUAAAAUUAAUGCAAUAAAUUUUAC
Molecule: long non-coding RNA, 461 nt
Organism: Mytilus californianus (California mussel)
Lineage: Eukaryota; Metazoa; Mollusca; Bivalvia; Mytilida; Mytilidae
Exons: 3
Source: RefSeq, a predicted model, not a curated record